This 576-nucleotide ribosomal RNA is filed under the name uncultured bacterium. RNAcentral's name for it is "bacterial SSU rRNA". It matches the Rfam family "Bacterial small subunit ribosomal RNA", at positions 772 to 1348 of the family's 1533-position model. The record is from RNAcentral.
ACUCAAUAGAUACCCGGGUAGUCCACGCUGUAAACGAUGGGUGCUAGGUGUUGGAGGUAUCGACCCCUUCAGUGCCGUAGCUAAACGCAUUAAGCACCCCACCUGGGGAGUACGUUCGCAAGAAUGAAACUCAAAGGAAUUGACGGGGGCCCGCACAAGCGGUGGAGCAUGUGGUUUAAUUCGACGCAACGCGAAGAACCUUACCUGGGUUUGAACUGCGGGGGACAGCCCUCGAAAGAGGGUCUCCCUUCGGGGCCGCCGCAGAGGUGCUGCAUGGCUGUCGUCAGCUCGUGUCGUGAGAUGUUGGGUUAAGUCCCGUAACGAGCGCAACCCCUACCCUUAGUUGCCAGCGGGUUAAGCCGGGAACUCUAAGGGAACCGCCGGUGAUAAACCGGAGGAAGGUGGGGAUGACGUCAAGUCCUCAUGGCCUUUAUGCCCAGGGCCACACACGUGCUACAAUGGCCGGUACAAAGGGUUGCCGAACCGUGAGGUGGAGCUAAUCCCAAAAGCCGGUCUCAGUUCGGAUUGGGGUCUGCAACUCGACCCCAUGAAGGUGGAAUCGCUAGUAAUCGCGGA